CAGCACCCCGAGUGGUCGGGACGAUUAUUGGGCCUAAAGCAUCCGUAGCCGGUUCUACAAGUCUUCCGUUAAAUCCACCUGCUUAACAGAUGGGCUGCGGAGGAUACUAUAGAGCUAGGAGGCGGGAGAGGCAAGCGGUACUUAGUGGGUAGGGGUAAAAUCCGUUGAUCCAUUGAAGACCACCAGUGGCGAAGGCGGCUUGCCAGAACGCACUCGACGGUGAGGGAUGAAAGCUGGGGGAGCAAACCGGAUUAGAUACCCGGGUAGUCCCAGCUGUAAACGAUGCAGACUCGGUGAUGAAUAGGCUUCGUGCCUAUUCAGUGCCGCAGGGAAGCCGUUAAGUCUGCCGCCUGGGGAGUACGGUCGCAAGACUGAA
RNAcentral lists this ribosomal RNA (376 nucleotides) under uncultured bacterium. RNAcentral's name for it is "bacterial SSU rRNA". It matches the Rfam family "Archaeal small subunit ribosomal RNA", at positions 477 to 853 of the family's 1478-position model. The record is from RNAcentral.